RNAcentral lists this long non-coding RNA (2699 nucleotides) under Sus scrofa (pig). RNAcentral's name for it is "lncRNA (ENSSSCG00055004127.1)". Lineage: Eukaryota; Metazoa; Chordata; Mammalia; Artiodactyla; Suidae. The record is from RNAcentral.
UUUUUUUUUCUUUUUUUUGUUUUUCAGCUGCACCCACAGCAUCUGGAAGUUCUCAAGCCAGGGACUGAAUCUGAGCCACAGCUGCAACAAUUCCAGAUCCUUUAAUCCACUGUACUAAGCUGGGGAUUGAACCUGUGCCUCCACAAAGACAAGCUGUAUCAUUAACCCCCUGUGCCAAAUUGGGAAUUCCUUCUUAAGGGAAAUAGGUUUAUAUGUACUUAUAAUUAGUCUAGAUUCUAAAUGAUGUGAAUGGAAAGAAUAUUAUUGUAAUAUGUUAAGAAUCUGCUAUAAUAAUUUUUGGAGGGCAAAAAUACUUACGGAGCGUAGCACCAUCUAAUGUUAUGCUGCUUAGUGAAGCACUAUGUCUUGAUAAUAAAUCAUUGGAAUGAAAAGCAAGAGAUGGACUUUGUUGUGAGAUUUUCUUUUGGUAAUUCCUCACCUAUUCCUACUAGGAAGAGAGCCAAUAUACUAGAGAACGGCAUCUGCUACCUAGGGUUGCUCUUUACUGCCUUAGCUUUAUCAGCAGAAAGAAUAAAAAGUAUGAAUUGAGAGCAGUUUUAUCUUCUAUUUAACUGUACCUGAUUAAAAUACACAUAUAAUUAGAAGUUUAUUUCUGUAAAGAGUUAUUAAAAUGGAUAUUUUCAUGCCAUUUAAAACAUAAUAUAUUCUACAGAAGAAUAAUAUUUUUGUGUUGAAUUUUCAUGACAUGAAUUUAUUUAAACUACUAAAUUCUCAAACACUGUGAAGCAUGCUGGGUUAAUUAGCACUAAAGAGCAAAAUAUCAUUAUGCAUUAUUUAAAGUAGAAUCUUCAAACUAUUGUGGUGAGAUUUAUGUACUAGUACGUUUUUGAGAAAUAUAAUUUAAUGCUGCUACAGAGUAUAAGUGAUAUAAGGUAAAUUGAAUCAUAAAAUAAAGCAGCUUUUUUUUCUCCUCAGUCUUUAUGAAAAGUACAAGAGAAAGAAACAAUAAUUUACUUGAAAGUUUUUCUUUUUCUUAAUGAAAAAAGUCAGAAAUAGAAAGACAAAUAUGAUAUGAUAUCACUUAUAUGUGUAAUCUAAAUUAUGGCAUGAAUGAACCGAUCUACAAAACAGAAACAGACUCACAGACAUAGAGAACAGACUUGUGGUUGCAAAGGAGGAGGAGAGAGGGAGUGGGAUGGAUGGGGAAUUUGGCGUUAGUAGAUACAGACUAUUACAUUUAGAAUGGAUAAGCAAUGAGGUCCUCAUAUAUAGCACAGGGAAUUAUAUCCAAACUCUUAAGAUGGAACAUGAUGGAAGAUAACAUGAGAAAAAUAAUGUAUGUAUAUGUAUUACUGCGUCACUUUCCUGUACAGCAGCAAUUGACACAACAUUGUAAAUCAACUAUACUUUAAUAAAAAUACACACUAAAAAUAAAAAAAAUUGCUGCAAAUGGCAUUAUUUUGUUCUUUUUUCAUGGCUGAAUAUAUUAUAGAAAACUGUCUCUUAGCACAUCAGAGGGAGCCUCUGAGAGAAUACUACUCCAUCUCCACCACAGUGUAGAAUCUUUGAUACUUGAUAUUGUUUAUGGAAUUUCAUAAAUUUUUACAUCAAACCUUUCCAGACAAAACAUGGCAAAAGUGUAUCCAGUUCAUUUACCUCCUCAUCUGUAUGGGCACAUAAUCUUACACAGUAUGUGAUCAAAAAUAUCAAUUGAAUGAAUUUUUGUAGGAUAUUUGUAAAAAGUAGAAUUUUCCAACGUAUUCUUUUUCUCCAUCUGGGAAGAGAGGUUUCUAUUUCUAAUUCAGCUCAAUUUGAAUAUGGAGUAAUUUAAAUAGGAAUCUCUCUGCUUGAGAUGGAUCAUGGAUUUCCUCCUCAGAGUGGUAUGAAGACACUUGUUUUUUUCCUGCCAAGGAUUUAAUUAGAAUCAUGUUAUAGGGAUUUGGAUGCUUAUCUGAUGACAUUCUCUACUAUCCCAGCAUUCUGCAAAUUGAUUGGGGCAAUACAACAUUAUUCUGAGAAGAAAUCCUCAUUUGGAUUCCCCUGGGCCUCAUUUCUUCCAAACUGAAUACUACCAACACAGUAACCUCAUACAGGUGGUUACUGCUUUGGUUCUGCUGAUGUUUGUGUUGUGAUGCUUAGAAGGAGAGUGGGAGGACAGAGAAAACAUCUAGAGAGUUAAUGACCAAACAUGGAUAGUGGGACAUGCCAUAGAGAGGGCAGGUUUCAGAAGAGCCUGAGUGCACAUAGAUGCACACCUUGCAGUACUAAGACCUUAUCUAGUUUCCACACUUGUCCUCUCACCAAGCUGCACACUCUCAGAAUGAGACCUUGUCUGCUGUUUCUCUCUUUAUCCCUUAACCUUUAUCCCUUCUCUGGUCAUUUUCAUCUGCUGAAGGUAACUGGUACUCUGUGGGCCAACUUCCUUUAAAAUCAACAAAUCUGAUUUGACAAUCAUGUCUUUAGCAGAAAAUACAGAAAAACAAGUCCUAUUUCAAGUUUCUUUAAUAAAAAAUCACUGUCUGCCUACUGUGUGUAAAGCACUUUUACAUAUGGUGUCAAAUUUACUUCUGGGUGGUCAAUCCCCAUUUGAUAUAAAAAUGAAUACUCUCACGUAUUAAAUCAUUAGUAACUUUAGCAAAUAAAUAUUAGUAUUGGGGUUCAAACCUUUGUCUACUUGAGCCAAAGUUUGCACAGGGCAAAAUAGGAAAAAGCAAAUACCAGCAUGUAAUUAUUAGCAG